GGGAGUCACGUGCCGUGAGCAGAGGUAAGACGGAUUCGGCUGGCGUGGUGCGGAAGCAGUGGGCGGAAGUCGCGUGUCGGCGGCUCUGUAAGGCCGCGGUGAAAGUCCCUGGCGCAACCCUGGGAUGCCGGUGGGUGCUGUCUGGCUGGAGGCCGGAAGGGGCGAGUGGAAUUCCUGGGGUAGCGGUGAAAUGCGCAGAUAUCAGGAGGAACACCAAUGGCGAAGGCAGCUCGCUGGGACGUGACUGACGCUGAGACGCGAAAGCGUGGGGAGCAAACAGGAUUAGAUACCUUAGUAGUC
RNAcentral lists this ribosomal RNA (300 nucleotides) under uncultured Paenibacillus sp. Its description in RNAcentral is "bacterial SSU rRNA". It matches the Rfam family "Bacterial small subunit ribosomal RNA", at positions 493 to 795 of the family's 1533-position model. Lineage: Bacteria; Bacillati; Bacillota; Bacilli; Caryophanales; Paenibacillaceae. The record is from RNAcentral.